GCGGAAGUGGCGGAACUGGCAGACGCGCAGGAUUCAGGUUCCUGUGGGGUAAAACCCGUGGAGGUUCGAGUCCUCUCUUCCGCA
This 84-nucleotide transfer RNA is filed under the name Myxococcota bacterium. RNAcentral's name for it is "tRNA-Leu". It matches the Rfam family "tRNA". From Rfam's summary of the family: Transfer RNA (tRNA) molecules are approximately 80 nucleotides in length. Their secondary structure includes four short double-helical elements and three loops (D, anti-codon, and T loops). Further hydrogen bonds mediate the characteristic L-shaped molecular structure. tRNAs have two regions of fundamental functional importance: the anti-codon, which is responsible for specific mRNA codon recognition, and the 3' end, to which the tRNAs corresponding amino acid is attached (by aminoacyl-tRNA synthetases). tRNAs cope with the degeneracy of the genetic code in two manners: having more than one tRNA (with a specific anti-codon) for a particular amino acid; and 'wobble' base-pairing, i.e. permitting non-standard base-pairing at the 3rd anti-codon position. Lineage: Bacteria; Pseudomonadati; Myxococcota. RNAcentral also lists the same sequence under 1 other name. The record is from RNAcentral.